Transfer RNA from Ovis aries (sheep), 72 nucleotides. It matches the Rfam family "tRNA". From Rfam's summary of the family: Transfer RNA (tRNA) molecules are approximately 80 nucleotides in length. Their secondary structure includes four short double-helical elements and three loops (D, anti-codon, and T loops). The record is from Rfam. Lineage: Eukaryota; Metazoa; Chordata; Mammalia; Artiodactyla; Bovidae.
UCCCUGGUGGCUCAGAUGGUAAAGCAUCUGCCUGUGAUACAGGAAACCUGGGUUCAAUCCCUGGGUUGGGAA